CUGCCAUCCCCUCCACGUCUAUUCAUCAUGCUAUGUUGAGUGUGAUUUAUGAAGCUCCAACAUCAAUUCAAGAGGAUCGAUUCCUAAUCCAGAGGAGGGAGAAGCUAAAUAAAGCUGGCUUCCCGAAACUACUCAUGAAAGGAAACCUUCAAUGUGACAAAAAUGAUAAGAACUCUGUGAACAAAAGAGGCAAAAGUUAUCAAUAAGGCAGCUUGGGUCACCGGGCCAGGGAGAUGGGAGGAUUUGAACCUCAGAAUAUUCUAACUAGGCGAGCAAUGUCACACUGCUGAUGCAGAGUGUCAGAUACAAUCAGAUCUUACCCACUUGAGGGUUUCUUGUGUCCCAUUAAACUUAACUGCCUGAGGACUCACUCUGUUCAAUGUUUGAAGUGGAACUGAGAUUUAAG
Molecule: long non-coding RNA, 406 nt
Filed under: Homo sapiens (human)
Lineage: Eukaryota; Metazoa; Chordata; Mammalia; Primates; Hominidae
Description: HSALNT0071588
Source: RNAcentral